RNAcentral lists this long non-coding RNA (3645 nucleotides) under Gossypium barbadense (sea-island cotton). RNAcentral's name for it is "long non-coding RNA (GBAR_LNC005879)". The record is from RNAcentral. Lineage: Eukaryota; Viridiplantae; Streptophyta; Magnoliopsida; Malvales; Malvaceae.
UAAGUCUAAAAUUUUAAUUUUAUACUGUUGCUUGAAGAUUAAUAAAGUAUUUCUACUUUUUCAGUUGGCUGAGAUUUACAAUAAUGUGAUAGCAACAGACACGAGCCCAAAACAGCUUGAAUUUGCAACAAAACUCCCCAAUAUCCGAUACCAACAAACCUCACCAACAAUGUCCUCGGCCGAGCUUGAACAAAAAGUGGGAGCAGAAUCAAGUGUAGAUCUAGUGACCAUAGCCCAAGCCAUGCACUGGUUCGACCUUCCUGUGUUUUACAAACAGGUGAAAUGGGUAUUGAAGAAACCCCAUGGGAUCAUCGCGGCAUGGUGCUACACCACCCCAGAAGUCAACGACUCCAUGGACCAGGUGCUUGAACGAUUUUACAAAAACUCAUACUGGGAUUCACCACGACAGAUGGUGGAUGAUAAGUACAAAACCAUCGAUUUUCCGUUCGAGGCAGUCGAUGGAGAGGAUAGUAGUGGACCGUUUGAGUUUGAGAAUGAGAGAUGGAUGGGUUUAGAGGAUUACUUUACUUAUUUAAGAUCAUGGUCCGCGUAUCAGAAGGCCAAGGAGAAGGGUGUGGAACUUUUGAGCGAGCAUGUGGUUGAAGAGUUCAAGCGUGCUUGGGGUGAAGAUGAAAAUGGUGGGCAAAAACUGGUUAAAUUCCCGAUUUAUCUGAGGAUCGGAAAAGUGGGUGCAUAACUACCAUGAUGGGCAAUCGUAAUGCUAAAUGAGAAGAUCAGAAGAGAUAAUUGGGGUCCAAUAAUAAGGAAAAAACUAUUACAUGUGAUAAGGAUUAUAGACAUAAUUUUAUUCCAACAUCUCUUUCCUUCUUAUAAAAAGAAGUUACUUAUCCAUGAAUUAUUGAUUGAUGUCUUCUUUCAUCUUCACAGUAUUCUUUUUAUGAAAAAAUAAAACAUUCAUAAUUGAGAUAAUUUAGAAUUGUUAAUGGAUUGAGUUAUUCAUUUAAACUCGAAUGUUGAUUCAAAAUUUAAGAAGAUUUAGAUAAAAAUAUUAGGUUUAAAAAAUAAAUUUUGACAAAAAUUUAGAUCCGUUUAAAAUAUAAGUUGGGCUCGGGCUUAGACUUGAAUAUUCAGGACUUGAAUCAGCCCGGUCCGACUCGCUUUUAAGUUUAUAAUGUUUUAUUUAUCUUAUUUUUUUACAUAUUAUAUAAUUUAUAACAUAUAAAAAAUUAAUUUAUAGAAAUAUAUAAUACUAUUAUAAUGUAAAUAUUAAAAUAUGUUAAAGAUAACUAAAAUAAACAUAUAUUUUUAAAAAUAACAUGCACAAACCUAAAAUGAGUUUAAAUAAACUAUUUACAAAUAUAUAUAAAUUUUAACAAAAUUUUAAACUCAUAUUUUAGAUGUUAAGUAAAGAUACGGUAGAAAUUGAGAACCUGUAAAGAUGUGGCAUAAUAGUAUAAAUAUCUUUUUCCAUACCAAACAAAAUUUUGAGUGGUUAGAAGGUUGAACACGUCAUAUCAUCUUUAAUGAUAUCUAACAAUAGUCUUUAUAGAAAAAAUAUAAAUUUUAAAUUUGAAAAUAAUGCUUCCCAUAUUAUUAUUUUAAUAAUUUGAUUAAUUCUUAAUUCAAUUAAUAUUGAUAUUAUUAUUAGUAUAAAAGAACAUGUAUUUGAGCAUUUUGAAAUAUAUUAACUUCUUAUUUAAAGGUAGAAGAGACAUUAUGAAUAGUUUUAAACAUUCUUAUAAUGAAAUUAAUAUUUAAUAAAUAAUUUUUUUCUUUAAAGAAUUAUUUUAAUAAAUAUUAAUUAUAACUGUUAUUUAAAUAUAUAUAUAUAACUACUAAUAAAAGUUGACUGACAAGAAUGUUCUUGAAAAAAAAAAGACUGACAAGAAGAGUUUCACUUUCCAGACACAAAAAAAGUUAAAGAUCAGCUGCCAAUUUUUUAUUACUUGGAAAAGUUUGUUAAAAAUCAUCACGUUGUUAUACUUUUUUUUAUAUAUUUAGAGUUUAGUUCCUUUAAUUUUUCUAAUUUUUAACUUUUAAAAUGUAAAUUUAAUUAUUAAAUGGUUACUGUCGUUUUUGGUUUGCCAUCUUCAUAAACUCAAAUCAGAUCAUUGCCCUCUUCUACUUUCAUUGGAACCGGAAGUGUCCAGACAAGCAUAUAGACCUUUCCGAUUUAAUGCUGGUUGGUUGUUACAUCCUGGAUUCAAGAAGAUGGUUAGUGAUAAUUGGAGCUCUAAUAAUGAUUUGCUUAUUAAUGUGAUGCAACUCACAGAAUCUUAUUAAUGUGAUGCAACUCACAGAAUCUCUAAAGAUUGGAAAAGAGAAGUGCUUAGGAAUAUUUUUUGGAGGAAGAAGGAUGUAAUUGCACAGUUGCAAAAGGUUCAACAUAAGAUAGAUUAGCAUGAGUUGGCUAGGUUGCGAGAUAAGGAAGUUGCUGUCUGGUUUAAAUUGGAGGAGGUGUUGUACCAAGAGAAGUUACUUUGGAAGCAGAAGGUGCGGUGUGACUAGUUGUGCCAUGGAGAUUAUAAUACUACGGGUGUGCCUCUUUUGGGGGGUUGUUUUGCUACAAUUUCGAGUUGGGAUACAGUGAAGCUAACGAAGGCGAAAACAUCUGAGGAGGUCGGUAGUGUCUUGUUUAGAAUGGCACCGUUUAAAAGGGUAUUUUACGUUGACUUAUAAAUUAUAUUUUAUUUAAAAAAAUAAACAUAAAAAAUAUAGAAAAUAUUUUUUGUAAACUUUUUAUAUGUAAAUAAACGUAGUAUUAUUUUAGGGAACUUCAAAAGUUUUUUCUUUAUUUAUAACAUUUCUUUAAAGUUUAGCCUAACUGAGGCACUGCCUCAUUUUCUUAUUAGCAGUUGACGGCUGUUGGACAGUUGGUGUUUUUAUAAUCUUUGUUCAGUGUACAACAACAUUUGCAUUCAGAUUUUAUUUCCUAGUAAGCUAUAAAUAAGAAAGCAGAGUUGUUGGGUCACUCAUCAUCUAUCAAAACCAAACCAGAGCAAAAACAAAAAAACAAUGGCAAAUUUGUUCAUCAAACAAGCAAAGCAGUACGCACAAGGUCGACCAAGCUACCCACCACACUUGUUCCAAUUCAUUGCCUCAAAGACUCCCCAACAUGAUCUUGCAUGGGAUGUCGGCACUGGUAGUGGUCAGGCUGCUCGAUCUGUAAGUCUAAAAUUUUAAUUUUAUACUGUUGCUUGAAGAUUAAUAAAGUAUUUCUACUUUUUCAGUUGGCUGAGAUUUACAAUAAUGUGAUAGCAACAGACACGAGCCCAAAACAGCUUGAAUUUGCAACAAAACUCCCCAAUAUCCGAUACCAACAAACCUCACCAACAAUGUCCUCGGCCGAGCUUGAACAAAAAGUGGGAGCAGAAUCAAGUGUAGAUCUAGUGACCAUAGCCCAAGCCAUGCACUGGUUCGACCUUCCUGUGUUUUACAAACAGGUGAAAUGGGUAUUGAAGAAACCCCAUGGGAUCAUCGCGGCAUGGUGCUACACCACCCCAGAAGUCAACGACUCCAUGGACCAGGUGCUUGAACGAUUUUACAAAAACUCAUACUGGGAUUCACCACGACAGAUGGUGGAUGAUAAGUACAAAACCAUCGAUUUUCCGUUCGAGGCAGUCGAUGGAGAGGAUAGUACGGGACCGUUUGAGUUUGAGAAUGAGAGAUGGAUGGGUUUAGAGG